UGCCAGCAUGACAUGCCCCAGCUUAGUGUGGGCACUCGUGGUCUCCACCUGUCUUGGAUCCAGCAUGGCCCAGACAGUCACUCAGUCUGAAGCAGAGAAGUCUGUGCCGCGGGGAGAGACGGUGGCCCUGCCCUGCACGUAUGCCACUAGUAUGAAUUAUUAUUAUUUGUACUGGUACAAACAGACUCCCAGUGGGCAGAUGGUUCUCCUUAUUAGCCAAGGAUCUAAUGACCAACAGUCUACAAGAAGGAAUCGCUUCUCUGUGAACUUCCAGAAAGCAGCCAAAUCCUUCAGUUUCAAGAUCUCAAACUCACGGCUGGAGGACACCGCGACGUAUUUCUGUGCUUUGGCAGAGGACGCCCAGUGAGACAAACAGUAGGAAGGGGUUUACAAAAACCUCAGACCUCAGCGUCUGUGCAGAAAUCGG
Non-coding RNA from Microcebus murinus (gray mouse lemur), 427 nucleotides. NCBI's taxonomy places the organism in Eukaryota, Metazoa, Chordata, Mammalia, Primates, Cheirogaleidae. The record is from the annotation of a RefSeq genome assembly.